UAUCUAAUAAUUUCUUACUUUUAUUUUUAACAUGUGGAUAAAGACAACUGAGAACAUAUUCUAAUUGGACUUAGGACACAAUGAGCCUUGUUUUAAAUAUGAGAGAAAAGAUGAUAUAUAUUAUAAUCAUAUUGUCCCUGCUGUUUGAAGAUCUUCUGAAUUUCAAUGAUAACAGGAUUGAUGGAAGGAUCUGCUGAUAACCUUAUUUACAACUAUUUCCAAGGCACAACAAGAGAUAGAAAGUCACAAGUGAAACUGUAGCUACUAUGAAGCUAUCUCAGAGGUUCAUCCAAGUUUCUUUGACACU
RNAcentral lists this long non-coding RNA (307 nucleotides) under Monodelphis domestica (gray short-tailed opossum). Its description in RNAcentral is "lncRNA (ENSMODG00000036525.1)". The record is from RNAcentral. Lineage: Eukaryota; Metazoa; Chordata; Mammalia; Didelphimorphia; Didelphidae.